Paramuricea clavata is the source of this 300-nucleotide non-coding RNA. NCBI's taxonomy places the organism in Eukaryota, Metazoa, Cnidaria, Anthozoa, Malacalcyonacea, Plexauridae. The record is from the annotation of a GenBank genome assembly.
GGAAUAGUUUAAUAAAUCACAUUAUUCCAAUCUCUAGAAAAUUUCUAAAACAUUUAUUGCGCGAAUUGACCGUCACAAACUUGGCCCUAUGACAACAAACGUUAUAGAAAAUAUUGCAUGAAAAAGGCUUCAAAGAGCUAAAAUGUCGCAACGAAAUAAACAUCAAUAUUGUUCUCAUGAGCAAAAUACACAAAAGUCAAAAGUAUCGCUCUCAAAUUCAGCUUCAUUUUCAAUUUUUACAACUGCCUCCAACAAUGGAAUACCGUAUUUACUCGAUUGAACGCCGCCCGCAAAUGAGCG